Dunckerocampus dactyliophorus (ringed pipefish) is the source of this 2895-nucleotide RNA transcript. It is a transcript of the gene named chemokine-like protein TAFA-1, with no coding region annotated. The transcript has 6 exons. NCBI's taxonomy places the organism in Eukaryota, Metazoa, Chordata, Actinopteri, Syngnathiformes, Syngnathidae. The record is from RefSeq and is a predicted model, not a curated record.
CUCUGACACAGACUCUCUACUUAGUGGCUUGGAGAGAGGACUGAGGCUCACAGCUUCUCAAUGAGGGGACGCAGCCAAAAGCAGACAGAGCAGUCAUUCCUCCGGAGCCUUCCGCUGCACGCAUGACAAGGAGUGUGAAGGUGGGGGAUGUAAAAAAAAAAAAAAGCUCCCUGUCACCACAAAAUAGGAGUUCUACUGACGGAGACCAAGGCAACGGCUGAGGCAAAGAAGAGAAAAAGAGAUCUCCACAUAUGACGCUGAUACAGCAGUGACAUGAUGAGCCUCUUAGUCCUCAAACCAGUGGGUGACAGAGACUUGAGGGUGUGCUGGGUUUGGUGACUCUUUGUGUUGUCAAGGAAUUCAAAGGAAGUGAGGAGCGCUGGUCCAGAGGAGGGACUAUCCAGAAAAGAAAAGAACAUUUUAGAUCCCCUUCUGUGCUGGCUUUGGCUAAUCUGGAAUUUCAGGCAGGAAUCCCAGGUUUCUCCAGUAUGGAUGCAUUUAAAAAGGAGGAGUACGUCUGCUGAGGAGGAAGUCAUUCUAACCCAUCCUUGGUCUUCCUGAAGUCAUUGCUCAGACCCGGCCUCAGAAUGUCCUGGUUGUUGGCCAUAUGGGUCAGCCUCAGCUUCCUGCUGCUGUGCCAAGCCUCGCUCUACCAGACCAUCCAGCAGCACCAUGUCACCCGUCCCGGUCGCACUGACAUUCUCACCCUGGAGGGGGGUACGUGUGAGGUGAUUGCGGCCCACAGAUGCUGUAACAAGAAUCGUAUUGAAGAGCGCUCUCAGACCGUCAAGUGCUCCUGUUUACCAGGCAAAGUGGCCGGAACAACACGCAACAAACCUUCUUGUGUGGACGCAUCCAUCGUAAUUGGGAAAUGGUGGUGUGAGAUGGAGCCAUGUCUGGAGGGGGAAGAGUGCAAGACUCUGCCUGACAAUUCUGGAUGGAUGUGCUCCUCUGGAAAUAAAGUCAAGACCACGAGGAACACCCAGCCAUACUCCCCUUUUUAGCUUCCGGAAGCAAAAUGCAGAGGAAACGUCAACCGAAAUUGAGCUGCAUUCUUGCUUCUGUAAAGAUUAAUCCCAGGACCUAACAGCGAGCUCUCAUCACAGGACCAGCCUCACGCGGGCCUCUUCCCCUCAUCUACCCUUUCCCUUCCCAAUGAACGGUGUAAAACUAUUACAUCCACGGCUGCUGACUGGAUUACCUGGGACCACGGAAAGGAUAUCCACCUAGAUAAAACAGCUUUGCUCGUGUGGUGCCAAGGAUUUAAAACCACACUAAUCCCCUGUUUGAUCAAGGAUGUUGGAUGUUGGUGAUCUCUUCCACACAACCGUGGCCAGUUUCCGUCCAACUCUCUCCCAGUCUGCCCUCACUCGGUGUGUCCCUCAAAAACAGAAGCAGCACAGUAGGGGGCAUUUUGAGGUCAUUUGAACAUUUUGUGAAGAUCUUCACCCUGCCAGUCCAAAAGGUAAAGCCACUGAAGAGGACCUGAACAUGGAACGAAGAGCAUAAAAGCGGGGAAUUGGCCUGAUAUCCUUUUAUUUCUGUGUGGCUUGCUGCCUUUGUGUUACAAGAUUACAAGAUGGCUUUGCAAGGACUACGUGGGAGUGAGAAAAAUUGAGCCCUUUUUAAGGAGAUAAUCAAGAUUUUUUUUUUUUUUUGUGAGGCUUGAAGGUCAUCCCUUAUGGCCUCACCUUUGUGGUCAAUAAUGAACAUUUAAUUUGACUUCUUGACCUCAAAGGCAUGUACAUUCAGCAGUGCUAUGUUUCUUUCCAUGUAAGACCACCUGUGUGUAUAUAAUUAUAUAAAUAAAAGACAUAUACAACGGCAGAACCAAAAAGCUGCAAAGUAUAUUUAAGACUCUCCUAGGAGCUUAACCCCCACAGUGGAAUAUUGUUUUUUUUCCUCCUCUGAGUAAAAGUGCGAUUCAUACUUGUGCAGAGCCCAGCUUUGUUGUGUAAAGGACUGCUUUACUUGAUAACUGUAACAAUAAGUAUCUGUCACCUUGGUCAUUCUGCAGUGUUGCUGGUAGAGCCAGAACAUGCUUGUCAAGAUGAGGAAAAACACUGUAUAGGACUGCCUCAUAAACCAACAAUGCCUGAGGUUUCCACUCAGAUUGUCCACUGUUGCUAAACGAACGCAGGAAAACAUAGGGCGUACUCACACUAGGCCAUUCGUACUGUGCUGGACUUGGGCGAGAUUCCCACUCCCUCUUCUGGCCCCCACUUGCCUGUGCUCUCACUAAACAUUCGUGCUUCGGGCCGUUUGCUUCUCCCAUCGCUUCUAUACUGCUGUACGACCUGCUCUGUUUCCUGACAUUGUGGCUUAUUCCAAGUCUUCAGUUGUUCUGAUUAUUUCUAUUGUGAAAGGUGGCGGCUGUUAUUUAUUACUUGCCAGAGUCGUUAUUCCAGACACAAUUGAAUUCACUGGUGAGUGCCAUGGGUUGGAUUAUUUUGAGUGUUUGUAUUUUAUUUGUAUUAUGAAUUGUGACGGUUAUCAUUAAGAACUUGCAACGAACGGUCGCGAUCGGCUACAUUGCAUGCGUGCAUGCAGUUGCGCCGUGCCUGCACCCACCUAUUUCAAGUGUGCCAAAGGCGGGGAAGUGUGCCAAACUUGAGCAAGGAUCAUAGCACUCACACAGUGAGAUUGGUUUACUGUGAGUACGCCCUUAUUCUCUGUCUCUGCUGCAGAAAGUGGUCUUGAGAAACCAUUUGACUGUUUGUUGAACAGAUGUACUUUUCAUAAACCAAACAGUGAAUAUUUAGGAUACAUAUUGGAAAACACUAAAUAUUGGCAAAGUGAACAAAAAUACUGUUAUCCCCCAAGUAGAUAUAAGUACAUUACAGCAGAGCCUUAUGAGAAAUAAAAGUGGUUUUCUAUACUGAUUUGCUGCCUGCA